AGUGUCCCUUAGCUCCUGUUCACUCCUCUCCAGCCACACAGGCCUCCUCGCUAGGCCUUAACUGACCGAGGUCGUUGGCUACGCGGAGCCCAUGCACCUGUCAUCCCUUCUGCCUUGGACGUUCUUUCCCGGAGUUGCCUGCAGGCCUCUGCACAAACAUUAGCUCCUCAGAAAGGCUCUCCGUGGGCGUCUAACAUUUCCUGCCCCUCUUCCCCUGCGUCCCUCCCCAAGCCCUGCUCUAUUUCUCAUCGUAGCGGUACUUACCAACACCUGACGCUGAUUUGCAUGACCUAUUUGUUCCUCCUUGCUCAGGGUCUCCUCACCAGAAGGUGAAGGCCCGGAGCACGUGGCUGCCACUCCGCAGGCAUCCAGUGACCCACAUCCGCGGAAAGGACGCCCAGUGAAGUUGCUCACCUCUUCCAGGGCUCAGGCCCCCCCCGUCCCUCCAGGAGAGAGUAUCGGAGUGGGCAGGAGGCCGCUGCGUUCUGCAGCCCGGCCAUCCGAAGCAACCGCGGCCGGGUCCUCCUCCAUGGGGAUGUUCUCAUCAGCCCCAAAGAACACCCCCUACCCAUGAAGCAGCCACCCCUCCCAUUCCCUCUCUCCUCGGCGCCUGGCAACCACUCGUCUGCUUUCCGUCUGUGGAUGUGCCUGUUCUGGAUCUCUCAUUUAGAGGGAAGCACGCAGCCUGUGAAGACAAAGGCAAUCCCUGGUCCUCUGACUCCGCCCUGAACUCUGGGAGGUGCUCCUCCUUCCCUGUGCUGGGGGAGGCCAGGUGCUGCCCGGCCCUGCUGGAGCUGCUGGAGCUGCUGGGCUGUGUGUGUCACCACCUCCCACCCCGUCCUUGGACCCCAGAGCGACUGGACCCGCACCACGUAGCUGCUGGCCGGGUCCGUGGCCCCACGCUGGGAAUUCAGGAGACAGGCCCGGCCAGAUGUGCCUCCCCUGCUGGACAAGGAAGUGGGGGUGAAAAUGCAGCCCCCAUCUCUGCAAGAUGGGGUCCCCCAGGAGGGUUCCAUUCAGUACAGACCCUCUUCUCCCUGCAGCUUAGGGCACCACUUCUCUGCACCUGGUGCUCAGCUUAUGCAGGCCAGGGAGCCCGACCAAACGAAUAUUGACUCAUGUCGGCCUCGAAGGCGUUUGACGCCCCAGCCUUGUUUUAAUGUAAUGGUUUGGGGAACUACGGAUUCCCUUCGGAUUCAGGCUGGUUUGGGAAGGGUCCCGCGGUCCCCUCCCUGCCCUGAUGGGAGCAUAGGUUUGGUAAGUGGCUCUCGAGAGAAAUUCGUAUCUGGGUUUGGUUCAAGAAUUAGCAAAGAUACGCAGUCCGCUCUGGUCUUGGGGUGAGGCUUUGGUUCAGAGAGAGGACAGGGCUGGCUGUGGAGCCCAGGAGGACACGGCCGCCACCGCCCACUGGGCCCCCCGCCGCGGCUUGGGGGGUCCUGUGCUGCAUUUAGAACAGGAGCCCUGGCCCUCAAACCCAGUCAGUCUCCCAAGGGCAACACUGUUUGAUUGAUUUUGAAACUGUGACCGUGAAACGGUUAAUAAAAACCCGAUAGAUCUGCACGGAGGUGCUUUCCGCACUGCGCGGCCCCUGCUUAGAUGAGUGUGAUCCGUCACGGCCAGGCACGGACGCCCAGAGCGCCCUGCACGCAGGAGGGGGCUGUGCAACCACCGGGACCCCCGACUUCCCCCGUCUGCCCCUUGCCUCCAGGGAUGACGGAAACGUCUGCCUCUGCUGACACAGCUUCUCCGCUCUUUAGGACAAUGGUUCUCAAAGUGGGGUCCCCCACGCCACCACAGCAUCAUCACCUGAGAAAACUUCAGAAAUGCAAAUUCUUGAGCUCCACCCCUUGCUGCUCACCACCCCUGGGGCCCCCCACCUCUGCUCUGCAAAGCGCCCGCCACCCUCCGGGUCUUCGGCACCCGGGGCUUCCCACCGUGACUCUGGCUCUCUGUCUACGGUAUCUGACAAAUGCAGAUGCACCUGAUGGGGAGGCCGGACCCUAGGCCAGUGGCACACACAGCCACCACGGGUGACGGGUACUCCUCUCCUGGAGAGAGCCCAGCCCCGGCGCUCCAAGACACCCACCACCCAGCACUGAUGAAAUGCCCCCUCCUCUGGACGGAGGGCACACACCUGCUGAGUCUGACUCACUAAAGUGUUUUCUUUAGCCCAUUCAGGGCCUGUUUGUUUCAUUUAAUUUGAGGGCCUCGGAAUGGAAUGUGCCCUCUGGUAGGUCACAGUGCCAACCUCUCUCUCCCGUCCUGCCCUCCUCGGCCCCAAGGAUCCUGGAGCCUGGCUGGUGUUCUGAAGAAUCCGAUGGCCUCAGCUGGGCCCGCUGCUCUCUGGGAAAAUCGUGAGGGACACAAGCAUUUGGUCACCCCCUGCAAACGUCCACUCAGGCUGCUGGCUCUUUGCUCAGCACGGGCCCAUCAGGUCCCCCAGCCUGGGCCACCCCUAGGAGCUGGGAGGCCCCGUGCACCAGCUGGGGGAUCUCAGAGCUUCACACUCCUCCUCCGCCAAAGGGAGGUCCCGUUGUCAUGUUGCUCUGAGCUGGGAAUGACAGGAAGCAGGAAAGCCCACGGUGCCUGGCAAGGCUCUGGCCUCCCGGUCCCCACCCCGCCACCCAGAGCCCCUGUGACAAGCCAGAGGAGGGGGCAGGUGGAAGAGGAGACAGGCCUGCAGCCUCUCAGCGAGCUCGGCGCUGCAAACGUAGACUGCCCCCGGUGCGGUUGCUGGCUUCGUCGGGGAAAUUACUUUAGCCCGGCAUCAUUUUUUCUGUGCCUGCUCAAUAAAAUAAUUAUUGAUGGCCUCAUCCAUUUAAGUCACAAUCAAAAUAGCAGCCAAGAUGGGGUGGCCCUGGAUUAUAUCACCAGAGCAAGGAACUAGUUUCCAUCAAUUCGCAAAUACAUUCACAUUUAGGUGAAAAAUUAUGCCAUCUGGGGUCAAAUAUAUCAGAGGCUGGGCGCUGGGCGGGAGAGGGCCCAGGUCUCAGGGGGUCUCCACGAUUCAGCAGAGUAGGGGACAGCCUGAGUGGGCAGCGGAGGAGGCCCGUGCCCGGUGGACGUGAGAGGAGCGGGCCCCAUCCCUCCCAGGAGCCUCCCAGGGGGCUAAGGGCAUCAGCUUUUCCAAAGGAAGAAAGACAAAUACGUGCGGGUUGGACAGGAGAGAGACCCACAAUUUCCCAGGUGUUAACAGCCAUGUUAACAGGUGUCCAGCAACUCUCAGCAUCCAAGGUGGGACAGCAGGUGGGGGAACAGCGGAAAGCUGGAGCUCGAGACAGGUAGGGCGGGAGAACGGGAGGGAGGGGGGAAGGAACACCCCCCAGAUGUCGCUGUGUGCCAGGCACUGGGCUGGGUGCUCGGUGGCACCCAUUGCUCCAAUAGCCCGUGAGGCCAGCAGUGGCAUCUCCACGGCCGACGUGAGGACAGGAGGCUCAGAGAGGGGAAUUCACUCCUCCAAAGGUGCACAGUGUGUAGAAGACAGAACCUGGCAUUCACGUCAGAUUUCCCUGUACCUGGGGUCUUCUCUGGAACGGCCUCCGUCAGUCACUUGCGGGUACCUGUUUUAGACACAGAGAGAGAGAGAGAGAGACAGAGACCCAGGCAGAGGGAGAAGCAGGCUCCAUGCAGGGAGCCCGACGUGGGACUCGAUCCUGGGUCUCCAGGAUCACACCCCGGGCCGAAGGUGGAGCUAAACCACUGGGCCACUGGGGCUGCCCGGGACUGGUUUUCUGAAAGUGGGAACGUAAAUUAAUCAAGAAGAGAGAGAGGAGACCCUCCCCUGUGGGUCUUGGAGGUCAUGUGGGCCUAGCUGGGCCCUGCUGGUCUGGAGACAGCCCCCGUGUAUCUCCAGGGCUUUUCUCAGAGCCCUUUCCACUUAAGGCUGGCUCCAGCAAAUCUGGCUUCUAGUUAGGUUUCCCCAGACCCACCUCCCCAACCCCGCCACCUCCUGAUCUCCGACCUCUGACCCCCACCCCCUCAACACACAUCCAGGGGAAGCCUGUUCCUAGAGCUUACGUACUGCCUAGUAUGCAUGGGCUCACCUUCCCCUGGGGGUCUGAGCUUCAAACCUGUAUUCUAAUUAUGGCUUGAAAGGCGGUGACCCCGGAGAUGAGAUUUCAAGGGUUGACCGAAAGCAUUUUAGGGUGUGACAUGUCUCCCCUGUCCCCCCAAUAUCAUACCAUGUAGGGCAUUGUCUUUUCCUGUCUGCUCAGCACCAGCCCUGAGCAUGUGCCUUCAAUAAACACAGAAGACUGUGGGAUCCAUGUUGGAGGCACAGGAUAGGAAACGCUGGGGGGGGGGGGGGAGAUCUUAAAUCUGCCUCCCCAAUGUUUGACCCUUCUUUCACCUCCUUUAACAAGACGUCUCUUUAUUGGCAUGAUCUUACCUGCCAAAGCAUUCUGCCUCGCAGUGCUUGUUCUGGAAACUCCUGGCCCCAUGCACAGUCUCAGUUUGCACCCCGGGCCCUUGGCACCCGCCUCCCCCAUUCAGGGGACUGCCUUCAUCGUGGCCAUUGGGCCAUUUUGGAAAACAGCCUGACACUUCCACAGAAUGUUAGCUAUAGAAUUAUCACGUAAGCCGGCACUUCCACUCCUAGGCAUAGGCUCCAGAGAAAUGAAAACAGAACACUUGUCCAUAAAUGUUCGGAGUAGCAUAAUUCAUAAUAGUCCCCAAAGUGGAAACACCCCAAAUCUCCAUCCGUUGAUGAAAGGGAAUAAAAUACGGUAUAUCCGUACCCUGGAAUCCUACUCCCAAUAAGAGGCGAAGGGCUGAGACGUGGAUAAACAUGAAAACGUGCUGCUGAGUCAAAGAGGCCAGUCACAAAAAGACCCCACAUUGUAUGUCUCCAUGUAUAAAAAUGUCCACAACAGGCAAAUGGGUAGAUAGGAGGUAGAUUUGUGGUAGCUUCGGGCUGGAGAGCUGGGGUUGGGGAGAAAUGGGGAGUGACUGCUAAUGGGGAUUGGGGUUCCUCUUGGGGGUGAUGAAUAUGUUCCACAGUCGACUAUGGCCAUGGUUUUGCACAAUUCCGUGAUGACACUAGGACCAUUGAACUGUUCUCUUAAAAUGGGUCAGUGUCGGGUAUAGGAAUUAUAUCUCAAUGAGGCUGUUUAAAACAAAUCAUGGCAAUGUACAUGGCUCGGCCCCUCCGGCCUCUGACACCUUGCUUGCCCCUGCUGACGGCAGCCUUUUUACCUGCCCUUUUGCCACGUACGCAGACCUGUCACCUGGCUCUCCAUCCAUCAAUCACCCAGCUUCUCCUAGUUGCACCUGCUUCUGCCCACCCCAGCCGUGGCUCCCCACCCAAGUGCUCCCUGUUUCCCUGAUUCACAUGGCUGGGCUCAUCGGCCACCUGGGCUGGAGCCUCCUCCAGCUGGGGCCAGAUGGGGAAUGAUGCUGUCCCAGGGUCCUGAGAGCUGAGAUCAGCCCUGGGAGAUCUCCUCUGCUCCUUGCCCCGUCCUGACCGUGCUCAUUUCAUGGUGUACUAGUCUCCAGUGAGGCCCUGGGACAGACGGCUGAGUUUGAACCCUGGCUCUGCCACUUACCAGCUGUUAUGGGCUAAAUUGUGCUCCCUAAAUCCAUAUGUUAAAGUCUUAACCCCAAAUAUCUGGGAAUGUGACUGUAUAUGGAGGUGGCAUGUUUAAGAGGUUAUGAAGUAAGAUGGGGUCCUAAGGGUGGGCCCUAAUCCAAUAGCACUGGUGUCCUUAUAAGAAGAGGAGAUUAGGACACACACAGAAGGAAGGCCACUGAACACACAGGGAGUGGGCAGCUGUCCACAGCCAUUAGAGAGAGGACUCCGAAGAAACAGGCCGGCCUGCACCUUGAGCUCAGAUCCCUAGCCUGCAGAGCUGUAAGAAAAUUGAUUUCUGCUUGUUUAAGCCACCUGCUCCACGCUACUUUGCUAUGGCAGCUCGAGCCAACUAUUACACUAGCUACGUGACCUUGGGCGAGGCACAAUCCGCUUCGUCGUGCCUCAGUUUCCUUAUCUGUGAAAGGAAGAUGAUACUAGCACCUAUUCCUGAGGUCGCUGUGAAAAUUAAAUGAGCUAUACCUGUGAGGACCUAGAGGGUGCCUAGCACAUAGUAGGUGCUAUAUGUGUGUUCCUAUUACUAAUAUUAAUAGGAAUAUUAAUAUUCCUAUUAUUAGUAGUAUUUCUAUUCUGCAUCAGGGACACCACUCAAUAAAGAUUUCCAAGGACCAACGGCAUCAAUUGAAGGUGCAAGCUUUACUUUAACACUUACUCUUUUAGAUUCACGAAAGUAUGCCAGGAGGACGCCUGGGUGGCUCAGUUGUUAAGCCUCUGGCCCUUGCUUUUGACUCAGGUCAUGAUCUCAGGGUUGUGAGAUCGAGCCCUCUCCCUCUGCCCCACCACUGCUCUCUCUCUCUC
This is an RNA transcript of Canis lupus familiaris (dog), 6385 nucleotides long. RefSeq lists it as uncharacterized. The transcript is spliced from 6 exons. Lineage: Eukaryota; Metazoa; Chordata; Mammalia; Carnivora; Canidae. The record is from RefSeq and is a predicted model, not a curated record.